RNAcentral lists this long non-coding RNA (4887 nucleotides) under Sus scrofa (pig). RNAcentral's name for it is "lncRNA (ENSSSCG00015078757.1)". Lineage: Eukaryota; Metazoa; Chordata; Mammalia; Artiodactyla; Suidae. The record is from RNAcentral.
UCUGCCUUAUCUUGCACGUAUGUUAGUUAUUCACAACAGACUUCGCGAAAGCACUUUAGGGAGGAGCCUGUUUCAUUUUUUUGAUCUUCAACUUACUUCUCAGUUCAAAGGAUAUUACUCAAUAUCUCCUCAUUAGUCAAUGCUUUCCAAUAUUAGUCAAAUUUCACUGAAGCCAACAGCAGGGUCCAAAUACUGGCUCUGUCUUUUGCCAUUAGGCAAUAUUAAAGAAUUUUUGAAUCCACAUAUGUAAAAACAAUUACAAUUAUUGAACUUAUUUCACAAAGCCAUUGUGAGAGGUAAAUUAAAAAAUUGUGUACUUAGGAGAGUCAGAGCCAUAGCAUGCACUCUGAUUUAUACAAGAUUCUAGAAAGAACAAGUUAAGAGGUAACUAAAACAGAAGCCAAAUGUAUAACUUUGUAUAAACAGAAACUGCAUAUCAUAUUUGUCUUUAGAUCUUAAUAUAGUGGACAUGACUUCAUGUAAUUUUAUGUCAUUCUCAUCCUUCUUUCUGCUGAACUUGCAAGAGAAUGUUUUUGUUCAGAGGCUCUUAGAGGAUGAUUUUCUUUAAGAUAGGCCCUAGUUCAGAAGAGGAUCUAUAGCUCUUACAGAGCCUAGAUUCCUGAAAUACCCUUGAGGCUUCAGGAAUAAGCCAAAAAGGCCUGUAUGUGGAUUUGCUGAUUAAUGAAUAAGUUGAUAAACAUAUUUAUUCACUCAAAAUCAAAUAUUCACUUUGCACCUCAUCCUCUAGGAGGUUAUAUUCCAAGGCUAGGCAGAGACAAAGCAAAUAUUAGAAAAUGAUACAAUCUUGCUAUGGUGGAGAUCUUAGCUGAGGUUGAAACACAUCAAAAAGUCCCCAACUGUAUUACAGACCAUCAGGGAGAAAGGAAGUGCCAGAGAAUGAACAGCUGUUACCUAAUGAAAUGUGAAGAAAAGGGAAUGUAUGAGGCAGAGGAACAGUAUAUACAAAGGGAAAUGCUUCACUAUAAUUGGAAAAUUAAGUGCAAGUUAGUAGAUGGAGUAAUAGACAUGGAAGAGAAAAUUUAAAGUAACUGACACUAACUGUAAGGCCACACAGUGACCAAGAGACAUCUACAGAUAUUUGGUUUCAGAGCUCUACACAAGAGAGGCUGUUAGCAUGCGAUCUGGCAUGAAGAGGAGAGUCUGGUACGGAAAGUCAAUACUACUUGCUAUGAAAACAAGAGUUGCCUAAAAUUGUUCUGCUUUCACUCUGGAAAGCUGUUAAGACAGGAACUAGCAUCUAACUCAGAGACUUAAAAACAAGAGAGCAUGAAACAGCUAAAUACGAGGUCUACCUAACAACAUCCUUCCACAUAAAUACUGACUACCAGAAAGGACAAGAAAUACUCAAGCUGUAAUAUUGGAUGUAGGUGGGGGAAUGGCAGAGGGAUAAGCAUGGAUCUACUUUGUUUUUUUUUGGCCAAACUAAUAAACUGGACUACGUUCUUAGAGCAACAUGAGAGAUUUCAGCUUUUUCUUCUCUUUAUUUUUUUAAAUUUUUUUUGUCUUUUUUUGUUUGUUUGUUUUUUUAGGGCUGCACCCAUGGCAUAUGGAGGUUCCCAGGCUAGGGGUCCAAUCGGACUGUAGCAGCUGGCCUACGCCAGAGCCAUAGCAACACCAGAGCCAAGCUGCAUCUGCAACCUACACCACAGUUCAUGGCAAUGCCGCAUCCUUAACCCACUGAGCAAGGCCAGGGAUCGAACCCACAACCUCACGGUUCCUAGUUGGAUUCGUUUCCACUGCGCCAUGAUGGGAACUCCAGAUUUCAGGUUUUUAAACAAAGAUUAAAAAUGAUAUCAUUUGCCUUAAAAAAGAUCAUUCUGGAAGCAACGUGGAAGACUUACAGGAGGCAUCAAGACCAGUUUUAUGUUUAUACCAUGAUCCUGGUGAGAAAAGUUUAGAGACAGAGCUAAGACAUACUGCAUUGAUGCAUUUCUAGAGAAAGUAAAAGGAAUUUAUUAUACUGCAGUAGGACCUUUAGGGCAUUAGAAGUCAAUGUGUCCCUCUUCCCUAACCUCCAACAAGUUCACUGCCAUUGAUGAUCAUGUUUGUACCUUUGAAUUGUAAUUUCUGUUUUAAAAAGAAUAGAGGCAUUUAAUUGACCAUGAGUCCAAAGGAAAGAUCAUGGCAAUAGAGCAUAGUAUGAUUCAGGGUCCUUGAAUACUGGACUGUAUUCAUGACAAGAAUUUACUAAUGCUCACUCAUUAGUGAUUGUAAAUGUGACUUCUUUGAAGUCCAGGGGAAUAAGAAUGGGAGGUGAGAGCUGCACUGUGUAUGUAGCUCCGGCCUAGUUCUGGUUCCUGAAGGGUGGUCUCAAUCCUGUUGACUUGUGCCUUGUUGAUAGGCAUAGAUAAAGGGCCUACAAUAGGUUUAACAAACUGUAAAUAUCAACAAGUGGAACUGGAAGAAGAGAAAGAAGACCAAUUCCUCAUGGUAACUGCAGCACACAGACUGUUUAUUAAAAGUAUAAUAUUUCUUAUCAAAGGCACAAUCUAAAAUCAACACAAAUAUAAACUAAAACGAAAGUAGUUCCUUCCUCUUUCUACCUUCCAAUCCUGUUUUCAAAAGGAUAUCACCAGUCACUUAUUCAUAUGUUUCAUUAGGCAUUAACUCUAUGCUUCUAAAUAAUACGCUUAUAUUGUUAUUUCUAUUUUCAUCCAUUUUAGAAUUAUUAUACUUACUUCCUUAUAGAGGACUAAAAUUUGUCUUUCAUUUCCCACUGACCUCCCUUCCCCCAUACUCCUGGUUAAUUUAUUUUGAUGAAUGAAUCACCAAUGUUUAUUUUUUUUACAUUUAAAAAAAUAUUGUUCACUGCAGAGCCAAGCAAUUUACUACAAUUACAUUUUCUCACAGGUGCUGCUGCAUUUCACUUUGUAUAGAAACAAUCACCUUGUUUUUCUUAGAAUAUUUGCUAUCAGCAGAGCCAUAAUCACGUAAAUGCUCUAUAACAUCAUGUAUGCCAUUGCCCCUUUCCCUUUAUAGUUCCUUUUACAAAAAAAACCCAAUAAUGGUCACUGGCUGGAAGCAUAAAUUAUGCCUGCAUUUUUAAAAUAUUAUAUUUAAGUAUGCUGUCUCCCAACCGGAAACAAAACUGAGUCUUUAGUAGCUCAUUACGAUGUUUCUCACGAUGUAAGCUGUUUACAGUUUGAGGGUAGAAGGUAAUACCUUUGAAUUUCAUGAGGGUGUGCCUGUUGCAGCACUUUUUGUUUACUGUGAGAUAAUUUCCUUCAUCAGAAUCAAUAACGGCAAAGAAAGAAUGCCAAAAGUCUGUCAGAAGCAGAAUUUUAUUUAGAAUAAAUGCUGAUUUCAGUAAGAAAAUACCACUGUCCUCUCUGUGAUGGCAAGUAUCUAAUAGUUUUAAUCUACCAACAAUGUAGACGGCUAUUUCCCAGGGGCAGGAAUCAAACUGAAACUUUAGCAUCAGUGUCUGCCCUUGGCAGAUUAAGCAAUCAACAGUGGCAAAAGCCAGAUCAUCCUUGCAGUGGAAUUCAGUGAGUUGUAAUUUUGCUGCUAUGUGUACACUGGGCAAGGACUAGGUAGAUGGGAAGUGAGCUAUAUUAACAUUCACAAAAUGUGUCAUCUUGUAUGUAUGAUUAUGCUGAUUUUUUUUUUUUUAAUGGCUACAUCCACAGCAUGUGGAAGUUCCCAGGCCAGGGACCAAGUCCAAGCUGCAGCUGAGGAAAUACUAGAUCCUUUAAUCCACUGUGCCAGGCCAAGGAUCAAACCCAUGUGUCUGCAGCAAUCCAAGCUGCUACAGUCAGAUUCUUUACCCACUGUGCCACAGUGGGAACUCCCAGUUUGCUUUUAAGUGAAUGUCCUUUGUUAAGCACUAAUGUGAAAUAUAGAUAUUUGCAUAUUUUAAUUGAUCCGAAAAUAUCCAUCUAUAAAGCUCUUCUCAGAUAUCCUUGGAACCAGUGUUUCCAGUCCUGUUCUUUCCACAUUUCUACUUAUCAAUCUAAAACAUUAGCAACAUUUGUCUAAAUUAGUUUAGAUGAAACAUUAGUCUAAUAAUCAGUUUACAUGAGAAGGAACUAUUCGAGCAGCUCUCUGCUAUCAGGAGAAGGAUGUGAGUCAUAAAGGUGGAGAAUGCUCUUUGCACAUGCACAUACCAGCUGAGAUUAGCCAAAGCCUAGCCUGGACCAGUUGAAACUGACAAUGCAUGAGGAAUGAAUAUUGAUUGCUUAACAUCACUGAAGCCAUCAAUUUUGUAUCAAUAGCUAACAGAUACGAGAAUUUUCUAUCAAUAGUAAACCAGUCCAGUGCCAACUGAGCUGUUCAGUAGCCUCCCCAGUAAGAUUUUCUUUACCAUUUUUCUUCGGGCACACUCCUAUUUAGGGCUAUAAUGCUGCAUUAAUAAAUUUCCUAUUAGUGCCAGCAUGUUGUUUAGAACCAAAAGGAAAUUACUUUCUGGUCACAAAGAAAUUUAUGAGAUUAUGCUGUGGAUUCAGGAAGAAGAGGCAAUAAAAAGGAGUUGGUGUCACAGGCAUGUGCACUCUGCACCCUAAUUUUUAUUGGUAGACUCCUGUGUUAUUUGGGGUCCUCAAUAAUAAUUAAAUUUAAUUGAUAACAAGUGUCUAGCAAUUCUUAAGACCUGGAUUUUUUCCUGUGCAGAGAUAUACUAGGUAGUGGCUCUAUUUCCCCUUGGGGAAUGGUUAAUGAAUCCGACUAGAAACCAUGAGGUUGUCGGUUCGAUCCCUGCCCUUGCUCAGUGGGUUAACGAUUCGGCGUUGCUGUGAGGUGUGGUGUGGGUCGCAGACGUGGCUCAGAUCCCGCAUUGCUAUGGCUCUGGCGUUGGCCGGUGGCUACAGCUCUGAUUCAACCCCUAGCCUGGGAACCUCCAUAUGCCGCAGGAGCGGCUCAAGAAAAGGC